RNAcentral lists this ribosomal RNA (2907 nucleotides) under Aminipila butyrica. RNAcentral describes it as "23S ribosomal RNA". It matches the Rfam family "Bacterial large subunit ribosomal RNA". Lineage: Bacteria; Bacillati; Bacillota; Clostridia; Peptostreptococcales; Anaerovoracaceae. The record is from RNAcentral.
GUAAAUUGCUGGUCAAGCAAAUAAGAGCAUAAGGUGAAUGCCUUGGCACUAGGAGCCGACGAAGGACGUGGCAAGCUGCGAAAAGCUGCGGUGAGGAGCAAACAUCCGUCAACCCGCAGAUGUCCGAAUGGGGGAACCCACCUAUGGUAAUGCGUAGGUAUCCUAUGAUGAAUAAAAUAGUCAUAGAGAAGGUAACCCGGGGAACUGAAACAUCUAAGUACCCGGAGGAAGAGAAAGAAACAUCGAUUUCCUAAGUAGCGGCGAGCGAAAGGGAAAGAGGCCAAACCAGUGCUUGCACUGGGGUUGUGGACACUCAUCACGUAUGGCGUGUAUAGUCAAAGUUGUCUGGAAAGGCAAACCGAAGAGGGUAAAAGUCCCGUAGACGAAAUGCACAAGAUGCAGAGUGAAUCCAGAGUACCACCGGACACGUGAAACCCGGUGGGAAGCCGGGGGGCCCACCCCCCAAGCCUAAAUACUACCUAGUGACCGAUAGUGAACAGUACCGUGAGGGAAAGGUGAAAAGAACCCCGGGAGGGGAGUGAAAUAGAACCUGAAACCUUAUGCUUACAAGCAAAGGGAGCGCAAGUGACCUUGUACUUUUUGUAGAACGGGCCAACGAGUUAUGGUAUGUAGCAAGGUUAAGGUGCUGGAGCACUGGAGCCGUAGCGAAAGCGAGUCUGAAUAGGGCGGUUAGUUGCAUGCUGUAGACCCGAAACCGGGUGACCUAUCCAUGUGCAGGUUGAAGCGAGAGUAAAAUCUCGUGGAGGACCGAACUCAUGUCUGUUGAAAAAGGCUGGGAUGACGUGUGGAUAGCGGUGAAAUUCCAAUCGAACCCGGAUAUAGCUGGUUCUCCUCGAAAUAGCUUUAGGGCUAGCCUCAAGGAAAAUGAUACUCGGAGGUAGAGCACUGAAUGUUCUAGGGGCCUUCACCGGUUACCGAAAACUAUCAAACUCCGAAUGCCGAAGUAUUAAACUUGGGAGUCAGACUAUGUGAGAUAAGUUUCAUAGUCGAAAGGGAAACAGCCCAGACCAACAGCUAAGGUCCCAAAAUGUAAGUUAAGUGGAAAAGGAUGUGGAGCUGCAUAAACAGCUAGGAUGUUGGCUUAGAAGCAGCCACUCAUUUAAAGAGUGCGUAAUAGCUCACUAGUCGAGUGGCUCUGCGCCGAAGAUAAACGGGGCUAAAACUUACUACCGAAGCUUUGGAAUUAUCGUAAGAUAAUUGGUAGAGGAGCAUCGUAUGCGGGCAGAAGCGAAGCCGGAAGGCUUGGUGGACUGCAUACGAGAGAGAAUGUUGGCAUGAGUAGCGUAAGGCAGGUGAGAAUCCUGUCCACCGAAAAUCUAAGGUUUCCUGAGGAAGGUUCGUCCACUCAGGGUUAGUCGGGGCCUAAGCCGAGAGCGAACGCUGUAGGCGAUGGACAACUGGUUGAGAUUCCAGUACCACCGAAAUUCGUUUGAGCGAAGUGGGGACACAGAAGGAUAAGCUGAGCGCACCGUUGGUAGAGUGCGUCUAAGCGUCAAGGGAGAACAGGUAGGCAAAUCCGCUUGUUCAAUUCUGAGGCGUGAUGGGGAGGGAAAAUAUAGUACCGAAGCAGCUGAUUUCACACUGUCAAGAAAAGCCGCUAGCGAGAAUGUAGGUGCCCGUACCGUAAACCGACACAGGUAGAUGAGGAGAGAAUCCUAAGGUGAGCGAGAGAACUAUUGUUAAGGAACUCGGCAAAAUAACCCCGUAACUUCGGGAGAAGGGGUGCCUGCGAAAGCAGGCCGCAGUGAAAAGGCCCAGGCGACUGUUUACCAAAAACACAGGUCUCUGCAAAAGCGAAAGCUGAAGUAUAGGGGCUGACGCCUGCCCGGUGCUGGAAGGUUAAGGGGACUGCUUAGGGUAACCGAAGGCAUGAACUUAAGCCCCAGUAAACGGCGGCCGUAACUAUAACGGUCCUAAGGUAGCGAAAUUCCUUGUCGGGUAAGUUCCGACCCGCACGAAAGGCGUAACGAUCUGGGCACUGUCUCAACAAUAGACUCGGUGAAAUUGUAGUACCGGUAAAGAUGCCGGUUACCCGCAGCAGGACGGAAAGACCCCAUGGAGCUUUACUGCAGCUUGAUAUUGGAUUUCGGCGUUGCAUGUACAGGAUAGGUGGGAGGCUACGAAGCUAGGACGCCAGUUUUAGCGGAGCCACCGUUGGGAUACCACUCUUGUAACGUUGAAGUUCUAACCAUGUACCGUGAACCGGUACUGGGACAGUGUCAGGCGGGCAGUUUGACUGGGGCGGUCGCCUCCUAAAGAGUAACGGAGGCGCCCAAAGGUUCCCUCAGCGCGGACGGAAAUCGCGCGAAGAGUGUAAAGGCAGAAGGGAGCUUGACUGCGAGACCAACAAGUCGAGCAGGGACGAAAGUCGGGCUUAGUGAUCCGGUGGUACCGAGUGGAAGGGCCAUCGCUCAACGGAUAAAAGCUACCCUGGGGAUAACAGGCUGAUACCGCCCAAGAGUCCACAUCGACGGCGGUGUUUGGCACCUCGAUGUCGGCUCGUCUCAUCCUGGGGCUGAAGUAGGUCCCAAGGGUUGGGCUGUUCGCCCAUUAAAGAGGUACGCGAGCUGGGUUCAGAACGUCGUGAGACAGUUCGGUCCCUAUCCGCUGUGGGCGUAAGAAAUUUGAGUGGAGCUGUCCUUAGUACGAGAGGACCGGGAUGGACAUACCUCUGGUGCACCAGUUGUCUUGCCAAAGGCAUAGCUGGGUAGCUACGUAUGGAAGGGAUAAGCGCUGAAAGCAUCUAAGUGCGAAGCCCCCCACAAGAAAAGAUUUCCUCCAGAAAUGGUAAGACCCGUGAGAGACUAUCACGUUGAUAGGUCGGAGGUGGAAGUGCAGUAAUGCAUGGAGCUGACCGAUACUAAUAGGUCGAGCGCUUGACCAAAA